GACGAACGCUGGCGGCGUGCUUAACACAUGCAAGUCGAGCGGUAAGGCCCUUUCGGGGGUACACGAGCGGCGAACGGGUGAGUAACACGUGGGUGACCUGCCCUCAGCUCUGGGAUAAGCCUGGGAAACCGGGUCUAAUACUGGAUAUGACUCCAUGACGCAUGUUGUGGGGUGGAAAGCCUUGUGCGGCUGAGGAUGGGCCCGCGGCCUAUCAGCUUGUUGGUGGGGUGAGGCCUACCAAGGCGACGACGGGUAGCCGGCCUGAGAGGGCGACCGGCCACACUGGGACUGAGACACGGCCCAGACUCCUACGGGAGGCAGCAGUGGGGAAUCUUGCGCAAUGGGCGAGAGCCUGACGCAGCGACGCCGCG
RNAcentral lists this ribosomal RNA (371 nucleotides) under uncultured bacterium. RNAcentral describes it as "bacterial SSU rRNA". It matches the Rfam family "Bacterial small subunit ribosomal RNA", at positions 28 to 401 of the family's 1533-position model. The record is from RNAcentral.